RNAcentral lists this transfer RNA (99 nucleotides) under Armillaria gallica. Its description in RNAcentral is "tRNA-Asp". It matches the Rfam family "tRNA". From Rfam's summary of the family: Transfer RNA (tRNA) molecules are approximately 80 nucleotides in length. Their secondary structure includes four short double-helical elements and three loops (D, anti-codon, and T loops). The record is from RNAcentral. Lineage: Eukaryota; Fungi; Basidiomycota; Agaricomycetes; Agaricales; Physalacriaceae.
UCUCUGGUAGUUUAUCGGUUAGUACACGGGCCUGUCAGGUUUCUACGUAAAUUGAUUCCCGCUCCGCGCGAAAGCUGGGUUCGACUCCCAGCCAGAGAG